UGCCAACAUGGUGAAACCCCCAUCUCUACUAAAAAUAUAAAACAGCUGGGUGUGGUGGUGCACACCUGUAAUCCCAGCUACUUGGGAGGCUGAGGCACAAGAAUCGCUUGAACCCGAGAGGCAGAGGCUGCAGGAGCCGAGAUUUUACCACUGCACUCCAGCCAGGGCAAUAGAGCAAGACUCCGUCUCAAAAAAAGAAAAACCCAGUGGAGAGGGCCAGUCCUGCUUGGGGGGCGGAGUCCUGCUGUGGGCCUGAGUCCUGCUGUGGGCCUGAGUCCUGCUGGGGGUUGGAGUCCGGUUGUGGGGACAGAGUCCUGCUGGGGGGCUAAGCCUGGGUGUCCCCCACGUCCAAGAGGGCUUCGUGACCCUGAGUGUAUGUGGCCAGACCAGGUCAAGUGGUGGCCUCCUCAGGGCCGUCUCUGGGGACCCCGACAGCUGUGGGACCACGCUUGUGAGGCUGGCGGGUGGGUGAAAGACGUGGGGUGGAGCUCCCGAUCUGGUGCAGGCCUGCAGCCUCACCUGACCUCCUGCAGGGAGGAGUGGACAACCGCCAUCCAGACUGUGGCCGACGGCCUCAAGAAGCAGGAGGAGGAGGAGAUGGACUUCCGGUCGGGCUCACCCAGUGACAACUCAGGGGCUGAAGAGAUGGAGGUGUCCCUGGCCAAGCCCAAGCACCGCGUGGUGAGGCCUGUCCCCACUUCUGCCUGUGCCUGGGGCUGCCUUGGACUGUGGAGGGCUGGGUGGGUCAUGGGGUCCCAGCUCGGCCCAGGAGACACUCAGCACUCCACGGCAUCUCCACCUAGGCCGGUUUUCCAUGUAGGGCGCAGCUGCCUCCCAGGUGGGUCCUCUUCCCCAUGUCAGAGGAAAACUGGGGUUGCUGAGCCCUGCCAGGCUUGGGCAGUGUUACCCCACCCUUCCCUGAACCCCAUGCUCUGAGCUGGGGCCGCAGCCAUGUGUUCUCUGUAAGCCUGGACUCCCCGCUGAGCCCAGUAGGCCACCAGGUGUGAAGUGGGCGCCUCUCCUGGCUCUGCCUCCGACUCUGGGGCCCCUCAUGCCACCCCACGCGUGCCGACCAGCUGGGCACUGUUGGCAGCGCCGCGUGCUGACCCUGGUGCCUGCCCAUAGACCAUGAACGAGUUUGAGUACCUGAAGCUGCUGGGCAAGGGCACUUUUGGCAAGGUGAUCCUGGUGAAGGAGAAGGCCACAGGCCGCUACUACGCCAUGAAGAUCCUCAAGAAGGAAGUCAUCGUGGCCAAGGUGGGGCCGGGGCAGUGGGGCAGGGUGGAGAUGAGGGUGCGGGGCGGCAGCUCACCCAGCCCUGCUUUACAGGACGAGGUGGCCCACACACUCACCGAGAACCGCGUCCUGCAGAACUCCAGGCACCCCUUCCUCACAGUGAGUGGGAGCCCAGAUGGGGCUGAAGGGCUGGGGCCAGGUAGCGACUCCUGGGGCUGUCUCUAGGGGACGAUGUCCUGUCUUCUUGGGCACGUGAGGGCUUUACACACCGCGGACUCCGCCGCUGGUGAGACAGGCCUGCCCUGGAGGGUCAGGCUGUGGAGGUGCCCAGUGUGGGCUAGGGGCUGUGCUCGCUGCUCCUGUGUGCGGGCAGGUGGGUGCGGCAGGUGGCCCUGGUCUUCCUUGCACUCUGCCGAGGCUCCAGGAGGCCCCAGCUCCCCAUGCCCUGCAGCCCUGCCUGCCAGGCUUUUGUUGAGGCCCGGGCUCUGUCCUGCAGAACCUGUUCUGGGGACUUGGCCCAGGAGGUAUUUACUGUGAAGGGGGCCAGGCUCCAGCCACUUGGUUAGUUCCAGGUCACUGUGUUUGGGGACAUUCUCCUGCAGAUGGGGCCUUUGCUUUAAAAGCACGGUCGCCUGUGGUGGAAGGCGGGAGGGUGGGUCUCGCCUGGGAGGGUGUGUCCUCCCUUUGCCAAGGCCCUGGUGCUGGGAGCACUGUCACCUGCUGAGGUCCCAACUCACCCUGGAGGACCUCAGCCCAGGCCACCUUGCUCACCUUUCAAACACUCCUUGGCACCUCAGGGGCUUCCGGGGCCCAGCCUGAUGGUGGCGUGGCAUGAGGCAGUGUGGUGUGGGGCAGUGUGGCGUGGGGCAGCGUGGCAUGGGGGCAGUGUGAUGUGGGGGUGUGUGGUGUGGGGCAGUGUGAUGUGGGAGUGUGUGGUGUGGGGCAGUGUGGUAUCAGGCGGCGUGGUAUCAGGCAGCGUGGUGUCGGGCAGUGUGGUGUGGGGCUACGGGCGGUGUGGUAUCAGGCGACGUGGUAUCAAGCAGCGUGGUGUCGGGCAGCGUGGUGCGGGGCUGCCGUCCUGCCUGUGGGGCCGCAGUUCCAGCUCCGCUUCCUUGCAGGCCCUGAAGUACUCUUUCCAGACCCACGACCGCCUCUGCUUCGUCAUGGAGUACGCCAACGGGGGCGAGGUAGGGGCUGGGGCUGCGGGGGAUGGACUUCGCGGCCUGUGGGCCGCCCAUGGUGGGGCUGGUCCUUCCCGGAGCCUCGGCUACUCUCCAUGGCACCAGACGGUGCUCCCUGCUGGGUGGGUGGUGUGAUGCCUGCCCAGGCAGCUGCCUGCUGUGGGGUGACUUGUUCCUGCUGAGUUAGGGCUUCUGAGACUUUCCAGGCCCCCGUGCCCUCUGGUGGCUGGUCCCUUCCCUGUGCAAUGCCGAGACCCGGUCUGAGAAACCCAGCCCUGCAGGCCAUGGGGGCAGAGGCCCGAGCCACGGCUGUGCCUCAGGUUGCGCCUCCCGCAGCUGUUCUUCCACCUGUCCCGGGAGCGUGUGUUCUCCGAGGACCGGGCCCGCUUCUAUGGCGCUGAGAUCGUGUCAGCCCUGGACUACCUGCACUCGGAGAAGAACGUGGUGUACCGGGACCUCAAGGUGCGCUGGCGGGCAGGCAGGGGGCAGGGCCCUGGGGGCCUGGCGGCACUGACCUGAGGCACCUUUCCCCUAGCUGGAGAACCUCAUGCUGGACAAGGACGGGCACAUUAAGAUCACAGACUUCGGGCUGUGCAAGGAGGGGAUCAAGGACGGUGCCACCAUGAAGACCUUUUGUGGCACACCCGAGUACCUGGCCCCCGAGGUGUGCGCCCCACCUGCGUGCAUACGCGUUGCUGCGUCCCCGCGUCCUGAGCACACGCAAUGCUGUGUCCUCUCUGUGCCCCAAGCACGUCACACCUCCCCCGGCAGUGUCCCGGACACCCCUUGAUGCCGAGUCCUGCCCAUCUGCCACCCGUGCAGGUGCUGGAGGACAAUGACUACGGCCGUGCAGUGGACUGGUGGGGGCUGGGCGUGGUCAUGUACGAGAUGAUGUGCGGCCGCCUGCCCUUCUACAACCAGGACCAUGAGAAGCUUUUUGAGCUCAUCCUCAUGGAGGAGAUCCGCUUCCCGCGCACGCUUGGUCCCGAGGCCAAGUCCUUGCUUUCGGGGCUGCUCAAGAAGGACCCCAAGCAGAGGCUUGGCGGGGGCUCCGAGGACGCCAAGGAGAUCAUGCAGCAUCGCUUCUUUGCCGGUAUCGUGUGGCAGCACGUGUACGAGAAGAAGGUGCGGCUGCUCCCCGCAUAUUCACGCGCACGCAUGCUCCCCACAUAUCCACACUCACGCAUGCAGGUGGCACGCUCGCCAGAUUUCCCACACACUCGCCCUCACCUCGGGAGCCUGCUGCAGUCCUGGUACAAGGAGGGCCUUGCUGCACCAACCUCAGCGCCUGGUGCUCAGAGGCUCUGGCACUGCCGGGUUCCACCAGGAAACUGGCCUGGUCCUCAUUUCCUCCUCCCCUCGGAGGUGUGUCACACUCUGAGUUUCCUCCUCCCCUCGGAGGUGUGUCACACUCUGAGUGCCAGCCUUGGGGUUCCCUUCCCUGACGCUGUGCAGUGAAGGCUGGCUGGUGGUGGACCAGGGGUGCUGCCCCUUGGCCUCCACGAGUUCCUCCUGUUUGACCUCAAUCCCUUCUGCCGCAAGGAGAGCCCAGCCCUAUUUCUGGCUGUGCAGGGACAGGGACAGCACCUACUUUUCUGGCACAUGGGGGAGUCCGCCCUGGAGGGAGGCAGCUCUUUCUGCAUGAGUCGCCAUCCUGGGUGCUCAUCUUUCAGGGACCCUAGGAGCCCUGGCCAUCACCCCAGCUGAUGGGGUCUGCCAGCUGGGUUCGGAAGCCUGCACUCUGAGGUGCUGGGUGCCCUGUCACCAGGUGUGCUUCUGCCCCGUUCCCAGCCUGCCCCUCCCCUGAAUGCCUGUCCUAGGCCGUGUGCAGCUGGUCGGGCUGGGCAGCCCUGGGACCCAGCUGGGCACCUGUCCUCCCAUUAACACAGGGUGCCCUGGUCCUGGUCCCCGUUCCUGCCUUGAGGCCUGCCACCCUCCUGCCCUGCCCUCCAAGGGUAUGGGGGGCCUGGGCAGCACUCAACCUCUGCCCAGCCUUGACCAGAGACCUUGCUAAUUGACAAUGGACAAUGCUGGUGCCCAGGCCAGACUCUGGGGUGGGGCAGUGCUUGAGGGGGUCCUUGACUGUGGGACCUGAGGGGCUCUCUGGCAGCUCCUCACGUGUGCACAUCACCUUAUAGUCACCCUUGAUCCUGGGUCAUUGAGAGUCCUGUCUGCAGCCAGAUGCCAGCAGGCUGUGGUCCUGUAGUCCCUGAGCCAUGGAGGCAGGGUGGGCUCAUCCUGUGCACCUUGUUCCACAGUCUCCCUCUUUCCCAAUUUACAAGAAGACCAAUAAGAAAAAUAAGAAAACAAGAAAGAAAAAGGAAAAAUAAAGUCAUCACCUCCUGGUAGCAGGGAGGGUCUCUCAGAGCUGGGCUGCACUACCUCCUGUCGCCUCCUGGGGCUGCUGUGAGGGCAGCUUUGCGUCUCAGCUGUUGAGGGUUGUCUCCGUGCUCCUGCACCCCUCAUGUCCCUCCCUCCCAGAGCUGCCUCUGUCGGGGGCUGGUGGCUUGCUGCUCUCUGACGUCAGUCCUGCCUGGAGACCCCUUGGAGAUCCAGGUGCUUUGAGGGUCUUGAGCACACUUGAGGGUGUGCUGGGAGUGGGGAGCGAAGCUCAUGACUGUCCCGUCUGCCCACCUCUGCAGCUCAGCCCACCCUUCAAGCCCCAGGUCACAUCGGAGACUGACACCAGGUAUUUUGAUGAGGAGUUCACGGCCCAGAUGAUCACCAUCACACCACCUGACCAAGAUGACAGCAUGGAGUGUGUGGACAGCGAGCGCAGGCCCCACUUCCCCCAGUUCUCCUACUCGGCCAGCGGCACGGCCUGAGGCGGCGGUGGACUGCGCUGGACGAAAGCUUGGAGGGAUGGAGAGGCGGCCUCGUGCCAUGAUCUGUAUUUAAUGGUUUUUAUUUCUCGGGUGCAUUUGAGAGAAGCCACGCUGUCCUCUCGAGCCCAGAUGGAAAGACGUUUUUGUGCUGUGGGCAGCACCCUCCCCCGCAGCGGGGUAGGGAAGAAAACUAUCCUGCGGGUUUUAAUUUAUUUCAUCCAGUUUGUUCUCCGGGUGUGGCCUCAGCCCUCAGAACAAUCCGAUUCACGUAGGGAAAUGUUAAGGACUUCUGCAGCUAUGCGCGAUGUGGCAUUGGGGGGCCGGGCAGGUCCUGCCCAUGUGUCCCCUCACUCUGUCAGCCAGCCGCCCUGGGCUGUCUGUCACCAGCUAUCUGUCAUCUCUCUGGGGCCCUGGGCCUCAGUUCAACCUGGUGGCACCAGAUGCAACCUCACUAUGGCAUGCUGGCCGGCACCCUCUCCUGGGGGUGGCAGGCACACAGCAGCCCCCCAGCACUAAGGCCGUGUCUCUGAGGACGUCAUCGGAGGCUGGGCCCCUGGGAUGGGACCAGGGAUGGGGGAUGGGCCAGGGUUUACCCAGUGGGACAGAGGAGCAAGGUUUAAAUUUGUUAUUGUGUAUUAUGUUGUUCAAAUGCAUUUUGGGGGUUUUUAAUCUUUGUGACAGGAAAGCCCUCCCCCUUCCCCUUCUGUGUCACAGUUCUUGGUGACUGUCCCACCGGGAGCCUCCCCCUCAGAUGAUCUCUCCACGGUAGCACUUGACCUUUUCGACGCUUAACCUUUCCGCUGUCGCCCCAGGCCCUCCCUGACUCCCUGUGGGGGUGGCCAUCCCUGGGCCCCUCCACACCUCCUGGCCAGACGCUGCCGCUGCCGCUGCCGCUGCACCACGGCGUUUUUUUACAACAUUCAACUUUAGUAUUUUUACUAUUAUAAUAUGAAACCUUCCCUCCAAAUUCUUCAAUAAAAGUUGCUUUUC
This 6232-nucleotide small RNA is filed under the name Pan troglodytes (chimpanzee). Its description in RNAcentral is "retained intron". The record is from RNAcentral. Lineage: Eukaryota; Metazoa; Chordata; Mammalia; Primates; Hominidae.